RNAcentral lists this unclassified non-coding RNA (270 nucleotides) under fungal sp. Its description in RNAcentral is "partial internal transcribed spacer region". The stretch from base 1 to 46 matches the Rfam family "Eukaryotic small subunit ribosomal RNA", at positions 1786 to 1831 of the family's 1831-position model. Lineage: Eukaryota; Fungi. The record is from RNAcentral.
AAGUCGUAACAAGGUUUCCGUAGGUGAACCUGCGGAAGGAUCAUUAACAGAUUCUGCUAACCAGAUAUCUUACCCCGUGUGAACUGUUCUUUCGACUUGGUGCCCAAGACUCGAGGCUCUCCGAGAGGGGCUGCUGGAGGCCUUAAAAAGCCGACGCGUCUCUCAAGGGUGUCUCGCCUCUAAGCACCAUCAUUUUUUACCCUUUAACUUUGAAUGCCGAGAAACUUACAAAAGACUAGAAAACUUUUAGCAACGGAUCUCUAGGCUCUU